RNAcentral lists this ribosomal RNA (301 nucleotides) under uncultured bacterium. RNAcentral describes it as "partial 16S ribosomal RNA". It matches the Rfam family "Bacterial small subunit ribosomal RNA", at positions 509 to 809 of the family's 1533-position model. The record is from RNAcentral.
CAGUAGCCACGGGAAUACGAAGGGGGCUAGCGUUGCUCGGAAUUACUGGGCGUAAAGGGCGCGUAGGCGGCGCUCCAAGUUAGGCGUGAAAUUCCCGGGCUCAACCUGGGGACUGCGCUUAAGACUGGAGUGCUUGAGGAUGGAAGAGGGUUGUGGAAUUCCCAGUGUAGAGGUGAAAUUCGUAGAUAUUGGGAAGAACACCGGUGGCGAAGGCGGCAACCUGGUCCAUUACUGACGCUGAGGCGCGAUAGCGUGGGGAGCAAACAGGAUUAGAUACCCCUGUAGUCCCUGUCUCUUAUAA